RNAcentral lists this transfer RNA (74 nucleotides) under Thermoplasmata archaeon. RNAcentral's name for it is "tRNA-Leu". It matches the Rfam family "tRNA". Rfam says of the family: Transfer RNA (tRNA) molecules are approximately 80 nucleotides in length. The record is from RNAcentral. Lineage: Archaea; Methanobacteriati; Thermoplasmatota; Thermoplasmata. RNAcentral also lists the same sequence under 1 other name.
GUGCCCGUAGCUCAACGGUUAGAGCGCAGAGGAUAAGGGACUCUGGGUUGGGGGUUCGAUUCCCUCCGGGUGCG